GAUGAAGAGCGCAGCGAAAUGCGAUAAGUAAUGUGAAUUGCAGAAUUCAGUGAAUCAUCGAAUCUUUGAACGCACAUUGCGCCCAUUAGUAUUCUAGUGGGCAUGCCUGUUCGAGCGUCAUUAAGUCCACUUAAGCCCUGCUUAGUGUUGGGAGACUGCUCCAGCGGUGCUACCCUGUAGCUACCCUGCAGCUCCUCAAAGACAGCGGCGGAGUUGUGGUAUCCUCUGAGCUUAGUAACUUGUUCUAGCUUUCGAGUACACCACUUCCCCUGCCGUAAAACCCUUAAUUUUUAAUGGUUGACCUCGGAUCAGGUAGGAAUACCCGCUGAACUUAAGCAUAUCAAUAAGCGGAGGA
This 355-nucleotide unclassified non-coding RNA is filed under the name soil metagenome. Its description in RNAcentral is "partial contains 5.8S ribosomal RNA, internal transcribed spacer 2, and large subunit ribosomal RNA". The stretch from base 1 to 120 matches the Rfam family "5.8S ribosomal RNA", at positions 35 to 154 of the family's 154-position model. The record is from RNAcentral.